RNAcentral lists this ribosomal RNA (1478 nucleotides) under uncultured Bordetella sp. Its description in RNAcentral is "partial 16S-23S ribosomal RNA intergenic spacer". It matches the Rfam family "Bacterial small subunit ribosomal RNA". The record is from RNAcentral. Lineage: Bacteria; Pseudomonadati; Pseudomonadota; Betaproteobacteria; Burkholderiales; Alcaligenaceae.
GUUUGAUUCUGGCUCAGAUUGAACGCUGGCGGGAUGCUUUAUACAUGCAAGUCGAACGGCAGCACGGACUUUAUUCAGUGGCGAGUGGCGGAACGGGCAGGGAAUGUAUCGGAACGUGCCUAGGAAGUGGGGAUAACUACGCGAAAGGUAGCUACAUUACCGCACAUUGCCCUUCGGGGGAAAGUUGGGACCUUUCGGGCCUCGCACUAUUAGAGCGGCCGAUAUCGGAUUAGCUAGUUGCGGGGUAACGGCUCACCACAGCGAUGAUCCGUAGCUGGUUUGAGAGGACGACCAGCCACACUGGGACUGAGACACGGCCCAGACUCCUACGGGAGGCAGCAGUGGGGAAUUUUGGACAAUGGGGGAAACCCCGAUCCAGCCAUCCCGCGUGCGAUGAAGGCCUUCGGGUUGUAAAGCACUUUUUGGCAGGAAAGAAACGGCACGGAUAAUACCCCGUGCAACUGACGGUACCUGCAGAAUAAGCACUGAUAACUACGUGCCAGCAGCCGCGGUAAUAAUGUAGUGCAAGCGGUUAACGGGAAUUACUGGGCGAAGCGUGCAGGCGUGGUUCGGAAAGAAAGAUGAACCGCAGAGCUUAACUUUGGAACUGCAUUUUUAAUCACCGAGAGCGAGAGGUCAGAGGAGGUGGAAUUGCGUGUGUAGCAGUGAAAUGCGUAGAUAUGCGGAGGAACACCGAUGGCGAAGGCAGCCUCCUGGGAUAACACUGACGCUCAUGCACGAAAGCGUGGGGAGCAAACAGGAUUAGAUACCCUCUGCAGUCCACGCCCCAAACGAUGUCAACUAGCUGUUGAAGCCUUCGGGCCUCGGUAGCGCAGCUAACGCGUGAAGUUGACCGCCUUGGGAGUACGGUCGCAAAGAUUAAAACUCAAAGGAAUUGACGGGGACCCGCAAGCGGUGGAUGAUGUGGAUUAAUUCGAUGCAACGCGAAAACCUUACCUACCCUUGACGAUGGUUCUGGAAUCCCGAAGAGAUUUGGGAGUGCUCAAAAGAACUGGAACACAGGUGCUGCAUGGCUGUCGUCAGCUCGUGUCGAGAUGUUGGGUUAAGUCCCGCAACGAGCGCAAACCUCGUCAUUAGUUGCUACGAAAGGGCACCUAUCGAGACUGCCGGUGACAAACUGGAGGAAGGUGGGGAUGAUGUCAAGUCCUCAUGGCCCUUAUGGGUAGGGGCUUCACGUCAUACAAUGGUCGGGACAGAGGGUCGCCAACCCGCGAGGGGGAGCCAAUCCCAGAAAACCCGAUCGUAGUCCGACGUCUGCAACUCGACUGCGUGAAGCUGUGGAAUCGCUGCAGGCAAUCGCGGAUCAGCAUGUCGCGGUGAAUACGUUCCCGGGUCUUGUACACACCGCCCGUCACACCAUGCUGGGAGUGGGUUUUACCAGAAGUAGUUAGCCUAACCGUAAGGAGGGCGAUUACCACGGUAGGAUUCAUGACUGGGGUGAAGUCGUAACAAGGUAA